AAUUCAUGGUGAGGGCAAUCACGUUCAUACUCCUUAAAACGUUCCCAAGCUUCAUAGAAAGAUUCAGUUGGUCCUUGUUGAAAGGUUGAGAUCUUCGUUCUCAAAUU
RNAcentral lists this small nucleolar RNA (107 nucleotides) under Eutrema salsugineum. RNAcentral's name for it is "Plant small nucleolar RNA R71". It matches the Rfam family "Plant small nucleolar RNA R71". Rfam says of the family: R71 is a member of the C/D box family of snoRNAs containing the C (UGAUGA) and D (CUGA) box motifs. Multiple nearly identical copies of this snoRNA have been identified in Arabidopsis, and it is thought to function as a 2'-O-ribose methylation guide for 18S ribosomal RNA. Lineage: Eukaryota; Viridiplantae; Streptophyta; Magnoliopsida; Brassicales; Brassicaceae. The record is from Rfam by way of RNAcentral.